RNAcentral lists this ribosomal RNA (118 nucleotides) under uncultured bacterium. RNAcentral's name for it is "partial 16S ribosomal RNA". It matches the Rfam family "Bacterial small subunit ribosomal RNA", at positions 1386 to 1501 of the family's 1533-position model. The record is from RNAcentral.
CACACCGCCCGUCACACCAUGGGAGUGGGUUUCACCAGAAGCAGGUUGCCUAACCGCAAGGAGGGCGCCUACCACGGUGAGAUUCAGUGACGUGGGGUGAAGUCGUAACAAGGUACCC